RNAcentral lists this ribosomal RNA (325 nucleotides) under Protaspa sp. Its description in RNAcentral is "SSU rRNA". The stretch from base 102 to 325 matches the Rfam family "Eukaryotic small subunit ribosomal RNA", at positions 731 to 955 of the family's 1831-position model. Lineage: Eukaryota; Cercozoa; Thecofilosea; Cryomonadida; Protaspidae. The record is from RNAcentral.
GAUUUCUGGCGACGUUCAUCUGACCCGCCACGGUUACGUGUGUGAGUGUUGGUAUGUACCUGCCAUCCUUGUAGAAAUGGUAACUACCCUUUACUGGGCCGGUUACAACUUUUCUACAUCUUUUACUUUGAAAAAAUUAGAGUGUUUCAAGCAGGCUUUCUGCCUUGAAUACAUUAGCAUGGAAUAAUAAUCUAGGACUUCGGUUCUAUUUUGUUGGUUUCUAUAACUGAAGUAAUGAUUGAUAGGGACAGUUGGGGGUGCUAGUAUUGGCCGGCCAGAGGUGAAAUUCUUGGAUUCGGUCAAGACUAACUUAUGCGAAAGCAUU